AUUGAACGCUGGCGGCAUGCCUUACACAUGCAAGUCGAACGGCAGCACGGGAGCAAUCCUGGUGGCGAGUGGCGAACGGGUGAGUAAUAUAUCGGAACGUGCCCAGUCGUGGGGAUAACGUAGCGAAAGCUACGCUAAUACCGCAUACGAUCUAUGGAUGAAAGCGGGGGAUCGCAAGACCUCGCGCGAUUGGAGCGGCCGAUAUCAGAUUAGGUAGUUGGUGAGGUAAAGGCUCACCAAGCCAACGAUCUGUAGCUGGUCUGAGAGGACGACCAGCCACACUGGAACUGAGACACGGUCCAGACUCCUACGGAGGCAGCAGUGGGGAAUUUUGGGACAAUGGACGCAAGUCUGAUCCAGCCAUUCCGCGUGCAGGAUGAAGGCCCUCGGGUUGUAAACUGCUUUUGUACGGAACGAAAGGUUUGUCUUAAUACGAUGAGCUCAUGACGGUACCGUAAGAAUAAGCACCGGCUAACUACGUAG
RNAcentral lists this ribosomal RNA (483 nucleotides) under uncultured bacterium. RNAcentral's name for it is "bacterial SSU rRNA". It matches the Rfam family "Bacterial small subunit ribosomal RNA", at positions 30 to 508 of the family's 1533-position model. The record is from RNAcentral.